Non-coding RNA from Leptospirillum sp. Group IV, 175 nucleotides. Lineage: Bacteria; Pseudomonadati; Nitrospirota; Nitrospiria; Nitrospirales; Nitrospiraceae. The record is from Rfam.
GUCAAGUUGACCAAACGUGGGAGGAGGCGCGGAGCGAAACCGCAAGUCCAUGGACAAGAACCGGUAAAUGGCGCCGCCGACCAAGACGAGCAGGCAUAAAAUCACAAAGUCUUUGAAUCCGAAGGAGAGGACGAGGUCGAGGAUCUCGGGGGAUUCGGCGGAUCCGGCGACGAUU